CCUACGGGUGGCUGCAGUAGGGAAUAUUGGUCAAUGGGUGAGAGCCUGAACCAGCCAUGCCGCGUGCAGGAAGACGGCCUUCUGGGUUGUAAACUGCUUUUAUCUGGGGAUAAAAAGGCCUUGCGCGGCACUUUGAAGGUACCAGCUGAAUACGCACCGGCUAACUACGAGCCAGCAGCCGCGGUAAUACGUAGGGUGCAAGCAUUGUCCGGGUUUAUUGGGUGUGUAGGGUGCGUAGUAAGUCAGUGGUGAAAGCCAACAGCUCAACUGUUGAUGUGCCAAUGAUACUGAUGGACUUGAGUACAGACGAGGUAGGCGGAAUUGACAGUGUAGCGGUGAAAUGCAUAGAUAUUGUCAAGAACACCGAUAGCGAAGGCAGCUUGCUAGCCUGUAACUGACGCUGAGGCACGAAAGUGUGGGGAUCAAACAGGAUUAGAUACCCCUGUAGUC
Molecule: ribosomal RNA, 450 nt
Filed under: uncultured bacterium
Lineage: Bacteria
Description: partial 16S ribosomal RNA
Rfam family: Bacterial small subunit ribosomal RNA
Source: RNAcentral